Molecule: ribosomal RNA, 251 nt
Filed under: uncultured bacterium
Lineage: Bacteria
Description: partial 16S ribosomal RNA
Rfam family: Bacterial small subunit ribosomal RNA
Source: RNAcentral
UUCUAGCUUGCUAGAAAGUUGAGAGCGGCGAACGGGUGAGUAACACGUUGGAAUCUGCCCCCAAGUCAGGGAUAGCCAUUGGAAACGAUGAUUAAUACCGGAUGUGCUCUUGCGAGUAAAGAUUUAUCGCUUGGGGAGGAUCCUGCGCACUAUCAGCUUGUUGGUGAGGUAAUAGCUCACCAAGGCUAUGACGGUUAAUUGGUCUGAGAGGAUGACCAGUCACAAUGAAACUGAGACAAGGUUCAUACUCC